Molecule: ribosomal RNA, 450 nt
Filed under: uncultured bacterium
Lineage: Bacteria
Description: partial 16S ribosomal RNA
Rfam family: Bacterial small subunit ribosomal RNA
Source: RNAcentral
GUGGGGAAUAUUGGACAAUGGGCGAAAGCCUGAUCCAGCCAUGCCGCGUGUGUGAAGAAGGUCUUCGGAUUGUAAAGCACUUUAAGUUGGGAGGAAGGGCAGUAAGUUAAUACCUUGCUGUUUUGACGUUACCGACAGAAUAAGCACCGGCUAACUUCGUGCCAGCAGCCGCGGUAAUACGAAGGGUGCAAGCGUUAAUCGGAAUUACUGGGCGUAAAGCGCGCGUAGGUGGUUUUGUAAGUUGGAGGUGAAAUCCCCGGGCUCAACCUGGGAACUGACUCAAAAAGUGCAUGAAUAGAGUACGGUAGAGGGUAGUGGAAUUUCCUUGGUAGCGGUGAAAUGCGUAGAUAUAGGAAGGAACACCAGUGGCGAAGGCGACUACCUGGACUGAUACUGACACUGAGGUGCGAAAGCGUGGGGAGCAAACAGGAUUAGAUACCCGGGUAGUCC